This 1104-nucleotide ribosomal RNA is filed under the name Thalassiosira antarctica. RNAcentral's name for it is "partial Bacterial large subunit ribosomal RNA". It matches the Rfam family "Bacterial large subunit ribosomal RNA", at positions 1813 to 2925 of the family's 2925-position model. The record is from RNAcentral. Lineage: Eukaryota; Bacillariophyta; Thalassiosirophyceae; Thalassiosirales; Thalassiosiraceae.
ACACAGCACUGUGCAAACACGAAAGUGGACGUAUACGGUGUGACGCCUGCCCGGUGCCGGAAGGUUAAAUGAUGGGGUUAUCUUCGGAGAAGCUCUUGAUUGAAGCCCCGGUAAACGGCGGCCGUAACAAUAACGGUCCUAAGGUAGCGAAAUUCCUUGUCGGGUAAGUUCCGACCUGCACGAAUGGUGUAACGACUUGGGCACUGUCUCGGCCAUGAGCUCGGUGAAAUUGUGGUAUCGGUGAUGACGCCGAUUACCCGCAGCGGGACGAAAAGACCCCGUGAACCUUUACUACAACUUUACAUUGGCUUUAGCUGUCGCAUGUGUAGGAUAGGCGGGAGACUUUGAAGCGGCGUCGCCAGGCGUUGUGGAGUCACCCUUGAAAUACCGCCCUUGCCACAGGUGAAGUCUAACCCUUCCGGGGGAACAGUGUAUGGUGGGUAGUUUGACUGGGGCGGUCGCCUCCUAAAGAGUAACGGAGGCUCCCAAAGGUACCCUCAGCACGGAUGGCAAUCGUGCGUAGAGUGUAAAAGCAUAAGGGUGCUUGACUGCGAGACAUACAGGUCGAGCAGGCACGAAAGUGGGGUUUAGUGAUCCGGUGGCACCGCAUGGAAGGGCCAUCGCUCAAAGGAUAAAAGGUACUCCGGGGAUAACAGGCUGAUACCGCCCAAGAGUUCACAUCGACGGCGGUGUUUGGCACCUCGAUGUCGGCUCAUCACAUCCUGGGGCUGAAGCCGGUCCCAAGGGUAUGGCUGUUCGCCAUUUAAAGUGGUACGCGAGCUGGGUUUAGAACGUCGUGAGACAGUUCGGUCCCUAUCUGCCGUGGACGUUGGAGAUUUGAGGAAAGCUGCUCCUAGUACGAGAGGACCGGAGUGGACGAACCGCUGGUGUUCGGGUUGUGUCGCCAGACGCAUUGCCCGGUAGCUAUGUUCGGAUAGGAUAACCGCUGAAAGCAUCUAAGCGGGAAGCCCCUUCCAAGAUGAGAUCUCCCUGGACCCUUGAGGUCCCUGAAGAGCCGUUCAAGACCAGGACGUUGAUAGGUCGGGUGUGUAAGCGCUGCGAGGCGUUGAGCUAACCGAUACUAAUUGCUCGUGAGGCUUGACU